UCACUCUCCAUUUCUUGGUUCCAGGGUACUACUGUAUUGCAUUACUGUCUUUGGUCUUUUUCAAUUGCAAGGAGUUUCCCAACCCAGAGGUUUGAUCCAGGACACUUUUGGAUAAAAAUAGCAGCUUCAGUUGUUUUGAGAGGCACUGUAUGCCCUCUGGCUUUAGAACACAUAUUCCGGUGCUCAAAGUGGAAUUCCAGAGAAUUGCCAACCUCAGCCCUGGCUCUGUGCUAGAGGCUGUCAGUCAUCCGGGAGGACAGGACCAGGGUGUCAGUGGGGCUGCACUGUAUCCUAACGCCAAACAGCUGCACAGUGGGUAAGUACAUUAAUAGGCAAAGCAAUAAGAAUUGGAAAUACAAAGACUGAUUGUGGAAGCAAUUGCCAGGGGAGGUGAGGAAGACCCAGGAUGGAGAGCUGGAUCUAGGUACCUGGGGAAAUAGCUCAAGCAAAAACAGGAAGGCAGACAAAGAGGGCAUGCUCAGAAGACAGUUUGGUGAGUCUGGAUGACAAGUCACACCUGCGCCAUGUAGGAAGGACUUGAGGAGCAGGAUAAGGCAUUUGGAUUUGAUACUGCAGUGCAUGAAGACCCACUGAAACUUUGUUCUUUGAAAACAGAUGUAAUUUAUAUACCAUAAAAUUCACUCAUUUUAAGUGUGCGAUUCAGUGAUGUCUAGUAAACUUACUGAGUUGCGCAAUCAUCGCCAUGAUCGUUUUAGAACAUCCUCAUCACUCCAACAAGAUACCUUGUGCCUAUUUGCAGUAAUCCCCGUACCCAUCCCCAGCCCCAGGCAAUCACUAUUUUGCUUUCUAUCUCUGUAG
This 819-nucleotide long non-coding RNA is filed under the name Suricata suricatta (meerkat). Its description in RNAcentral is "lncRNA (ENSSSUG00005012900.1)". The record is from RNAcentral. Lineage: Eukaryota; Metazoa; Chordata; Mammalia; Carnivora; Herpestidae.